Molecule: long non-coding RNA, 926 nt
Organism: Leopardus geoffroyi (Geoffroy's cat)
Lineage: Eukaryota; Metazoa; Chordata; Mammalia; Carnivora; Felidae
Exons: 2
Source: RefSeq, a predicted model, not a curated record
CACGGGGCUGUGGACAGAGCGGCAGGACCUUAGGCCACAGACCGUCAACACCGGGUCCAGGUCAUGAGCACCGCCCCUCGGAGCCCAAGUGCAACCCCCCACAUCAAGGAUGGGCACAGGGCUGCGGAAUCCCCCGAGGCCCCUCCCGAAAAGCCUGGUAGGUACGGCUCCAAAGCCCGAGGGACACAGACCUGAAAAGCCUCUCCUGGGCUCACAGACACCCACAGGGACAGGGCGAGAGACAGGAGUGAGCGGGCAAGUGAUGGGGGGGGGGGGGGGAGCCUGAGAACAUGUGUCCCCCCGCCAAGAGGCCAGGCUGCCACUCUGCUCCAGCUGACACCUGCUGCUUGGGAAUGUGGGGCCAGACUGUUCACUUUUCUCAGAAAAGCUGGAAACCUAGAUUUUUGUGGGAACCUGCUAGUUUUUGAACAUUGACAGCUAAUCCCAAAUUACUGUAAAAAUAGGGUGUGAAUCAGGCUCAAGGGGAGGCUCAAAGGCUGCUCGGUGAGCUUCUAGAUUGCAGGGUGUCUUCUCCCAGGGAGAUGUGGAAGGAGAGGAUGGUUGAGGCACCCCCUGACUGGCAGGGAUGAGGAGAGUGCUGGUGCCACAGGGCCUGCCACUGAUUUUGGUCUCCCCUCCAUUCAGGGCAGGACCCCAGGGCUUGCUUGGUCCCCAUCCCUGGCAUGCCCAGGCCACGUCCCACACGAAGCCACCCAAGGCACAGCCUGAGCAGAUACCACCUUGAGAAGCAGAACUAGGCUCCUAAGAGUUGAGCCCGCGGAGAAAACCUUGUUACUCUCUUGUUAGAGAAUAACAAUGGCUAGUUGCGGAUCUUUCCUCCAGCAAAAAAAAGAAAAGUACGUUGGUGUAUAUAUGUGCACACACACACACACACACACACACACUCACACACACACACACACACC